GACAUUUGGUAGAGGCUGUUUAAGCCACCUGGUCCCAGCAGACUCCAGAAGGCGGCCACAUUUGCUGGUAUUGGGGCAAGGUCUUUAGGGUGAAGCCUGCUGCCAGAUGUGU
Molecule: ribosomal RNA, 112 nt
Organism: Panthera pardus (leopard)
Lineage: Eukaryota; Metazoa; Chordata; Mammalia; Carnivora; Felidae
Source: Ensembl